RNAcentral lists this ribosomal RNA (446 nucleotides) under uncultured bacterium. Its description in RNAcentral is "bacterial SSU rRNA". It matches the Rfam family "Bacterial small subunit ribosomal RNA", at positions 331 to 793 of the family's 1533-position model. The record is from RNAcentral.
CCAGACUCCUACGGGAGGCAGCAGUGGGGAAUAUUGCACAAUGGGGGGAACCCUGAUGCAGCGACGCCGCGUGAGUGAAGAAGUAUUUCGGUAUGUAAAGCUCUAUCAGCAGGGAAGAAAAUGACGGUACCUGACUAAGAAGCCCCGGCUAACUACGUGCCAGCAGCCGCGGUAAUACGUAGGGGGCAAGCGUUAUCCGGAUUUACUGGGUGUAAAGGGAGCGUAGACGGUUAUGCAAGUCUGAAGUGAAAGCCCAAGGCUCAACCAUGGGACUGCUUUGGAAACUGUAAAACUGGAGUGCAGGAGAGGUAAGCGGAAUUCCUAGUGUAGCGGUGAAAUGCGUAGAUAUCACGCAGAACUCCGAUUGCGAAGGCAGCAUACCGGCGCCCAACUGACGCUGAAGCACGAAAGCGUGGGUAUCGAACAGGAUUAGAUACCCGUGUAAG